GGUCUAUUCCAGAGAAGAAAUUCAAAGCUGGGUCUCCCACAUCUCUGGUGAAUACUCUAACCAGCAGGCUAAAGCUCAUGAAGAUGCAUGCCAGUUACACUCAGUGAACAAGAACUACACAGAAUUUGUUAAAAGUGUGAAAACCUGUGUAAAUGAGCAGAGAAUGUGACCCAGAAUAACCAUCACAUCAAAAUGGGAAGCAUCAGUCACACUUCUGAAAAUCAUGUGGCUUUCCUACAUUGAUGGAAGAAUCACUCCUGUUGGCAUAGAGAGCGUCUAUAUUGAAGCACUGCAGAAGCACAACUCCAACCCUUAGGCCCUAA
Molecule: long non-coding RNA, 323 nt
Organism: Gopherus flavomarginatus (Mexican gopher tortoise)
Lineage: Eukaryota; Metazoa; Chordata; Testudines; Testudinidae
Exons: 3
Source: RefSeq, a predicted model, not a curated record